CGAACGGGUGAGUAAUGCGUGACCAACCUGCCCCAUGCUCCAGAAUAGCUCUUGGAAACGGGUGGUAAUGCUGGAUGCUCCAACUUGACGCAUGUCUUGUUGGGAAAGUGUUUAGUGGCAUGGGAUGGGGUCGCGUCCUAUCAGCUUGUAGGCGGGGUAAUGGCCCACCUAGGCUUCGACGGGUAGCCGGCCUGAGAGGGCGGACGGCCACAUUGGGACUGAGAUACGGCCCAGACUCCUACGGGAGGCAGCAGU
RNAcentral lists this ribosomal RNA (255 nucleotides) under uncultured Gardnerella sp. RNAcentral describes it as "partial 16S ribosomal RNA". It matches the Rfam family "Bacterial small subunit ribosomal RNA", at positions 99 to 355 of the family's 1533-position model. Lineage: Bacteria; Bacillati; Actinomycetota; Actinomycetes; Bifidobacteriales; Bifidobacteriaceae. The record is from RNAcentral.